RNAcentral lists this ribosomal RNA (369 nucleotides) under uncultured bacterium. RNAcentral describes it as "bacterial SSU rRNA". It matches the Rfam family "Bacterial small subunit ribosomal RNA", at positions 527 to 896 of the family's 1533-position model. The record is from RNAcentral.
GUAGGUGGCAAGCGUUGUCCGGAAUUAUUGGGCGUAAAGCGUGCGCAGGCGUUUUGCUAAGACCGAUGUGAAAUCCCCGGGCUCAACCUGGGAACUGCAUUGGUGACUGGCAGGCUAGAGUAUGGCAGAGGGGGGUAGAAUUCCACGUGUAGCAGUGAAAUGCGUAGAGAUGUGGAGGAAUACCGUUGGCGAAGGCAGCCCCCUGGGCCAAUACUGACGCUCAUGCACGAAAGCGUGGGGAGCAAACAGGAUUAGAUACCCUGGUAGUCCACGCCCUAAACGAUGUCAACUAGUUGUUGGGGAUUCAUUUCCUUAGUAACGUAGCUAACGCGUGAAGUUGACCGCCUGGGGAGUACGGUCGCAAGAUUA